AACGAACGCUGGCGGCAGGCCUAACACAUGCAAGUCGAGCGCCCUUUCGGGGCUGCGGCGGACUGGUGGGUAACGCGUGGGAAUAUGCCCUUCUCUAUGGACUAGCCUCGGGAAACUGAGAGUAUUACCGUAUUCGGCCUGUUGGGGAAAGAUUUAUCGGGGAAGGAUUAGCGCGCGUUGGAUUUGGUAGUUGGUGGGGUAAUCGCAUACCAAGCCGACGAUGCAUAGCUGGUUUGGGAGGAUGAUCAGUCACAAUGGGACUGAGACACGGACCAGACUCCUACGGAAGGCAGCAGUGGGGAAUCUUAGAGAAUGGAGGCAAACCUAAUCUAGCCAUGCGGCGUGAGUGGUGAAGGGGUUAGGGUUGUAAAGCUGUUUGAGCUGGGAAGAUAAUGACGGUACCAGCAGAAGAAGCACCGGCUAACUCCGUG
This 431-nucleotide ribosomal RNA is filed under the name uncultured bacterium. Its description in RNAcentral is "partial 16S ribosomal RNA". It matches the Rfam family "Bacterial small subunit ribosomal RNA", at positions 29 to 507 of the family's 1533-position model. The record is from RNAcentral.